RNAcentral lists this small RNA (127 nucleotides) under Marmota monax (woodchuck). The record is from RNAcentral. Lineage: Eukaryota; Metazoa; Chordata; Mammalia; Rodentia; Sciuridae.
GUCGGGCCUGGUGGCCCACACCUGUAAUCCCAGCGGCUCAGGAGGCUGAGGCAGGAGAAUCAAGAGUUGAAAACCAGCCUCAGCAAUUUAGAGAGGCCCCAAGCAACUCAGUGAGAUCCUGUCUCUA